AAUAUUUGACAAUGGUUGCAACCCUGAUACAACCAUGCCGCGUGAGUGCAGAAGANAUNNGGACUNUNAAGCACUUUAAGUAGNNNNNUAUGGCUCUAGGCGACUACUCUCAAGUUCUGACGUUACCAACAGAAUAAUCAUCGGCCAACUCUGUGCUCGCAGCCGCGGUAAUACAGAGGCUGCAAGCGUUCAUCGUAAUUACUGGGCGUAAAGCGCGCGUAGGUGGUUCAGUAAGAUGGGUGUGAAAUCCCCGGGCUUAACCUGGGAACUGCUUUCAUAACUGCUGAGCUAGAGUACGGUAGAGGGUAGUGGAAUUUCCUGUGUAGCGGUGAAAUGCGUAGAUAUAGGAAGGAACACCAGUGGCGAAGGCGACUACCUGGACUGAUACUGACACUGAGGUGCGAAAGCGUGGGGAGCAAAC
RNAcentral lists this ribosomal RNA (421 nucleotides) under uncultured bacterium. Its description in RNAcentral is "partial 16S ribosomal RNA". It matches the Rfam family "Bacterial small subunit ribosomal RNA", at positions 360 to 773 of the family's 1533-position model. The record is from RNAcentral.